RNAcentral lists this long non-coding RNA (214 nucleotides) under Capsicum annuum. RNAcentral's name for it is "long non-coding RNA (CANN_LNC020294)". The record is from RNAcentral. Lineage: Eukaryota; Viridiplantae; Streptophyta; Magnoliopsida; Solanales; Solanaceae.
UUUACUAGUGGCUACUGAUUCUAACAAACUUGUCACAACUAUUAAUUCCAGUGGCCUUCUUGUUCCGAAACAUGACGAAAUUAACUAUAUCUCCUUUUGCAGGGAUUUUCUGGAGCAAAUAGGGAACCCGCCGGUCCUCCAUGAAAGGAGGGGCACAAAUGGGGUUGCGGACUUGCUAGCAAAGAGGGCAAUAAGUUAGGAAGUAGCUGUUUUU